UACGUAGGGUGCAAGCGUUGUCCGGAAUUAUUGGGCGUAAAGAGCUCGUAGGCGGUCUGUCGCGUCUGCUGUGAAAACUCAGGGCUUAACCCUGAGCUUGCAGUGGGUACGGGCAGACUAGAGUGCGGUAGGGGAGACUGGAAUUCCCGGUGUAGCGGUGAAAUGCGCAGAUAUCAGGAGGAACACCGAUGGCGAAGGCAGGUCUCUGGGCAUUAACUGACGCUGAGGAGCGAAAGCAUGGGGAGCGAACAGG
RNAcentral lists this ribosomal RNA (253 nucleotides) under uncultured bacterium. Its description in RNAcentral is "partial 16S ribosomal RNA". It matches the Rfam family "Bacterial small subunit ribosomal RNA", at positions 524 to 776 of the family's 1533-position model. The record is from RNAcentral.